RNAcentral lists this long non-coding RNA (287 nucleotides) under Elaeis guineensis (African oil palm). RNAcentral describes it as "long non-coding RNA (EGUI_LNC055234)". Lineage: Eukaryota; Viridiplantae; Streptophyta; Magnoliopsida; Arecales; Arecaceae. The record is from RNAcentral.
CUGGUAGUUAGAAAUUUUUAUUUACAUAGCAUAUGAUGCAUGUAUAUGUUUAGGAUGUGUUGGAGACCUAAGUUCCUCCGUUAAAUGAUAUUAAGUCUUAAUGACGAAGUGUUAAAAAUACUACCCAUGCCUUCCUUUAUGCUAAGUCACUAUUAUAUCAAGAAUCAUAGUAGGCUUGUUGUGCUAUCCACAAAGCUCGCUGUGGGGACUGGCUAAAUACUAUCUUGGUGCAUAAUGAAGCUAAUGGUAUUUAGCUUAUACUAAGUCAAUAGAGUAUAUCAAAAACU